RNAcentral lists this ribosomal RNA (497 nucleotides) under uncultured bacterium. Its description in RNAcentral is "partial 16S ribosomal RNA". It matches the Rfam family "Bacterial small subunit ribosomal RNA", at positions 28 to 507 of the family's 1533-position model. The record is from RNAcentral.
GACGAACGCUGGCGGCGUGCCUAAUACAUGCAAGUUGAGCGCUGAAGGUUGGUACCUGUACCAACUGGAUGAGCAGCGAACGGGUGAGUAACGCGUGGGGAAUCUGCCUUUGAGCGGGGGACAACAUUUGGAAACGAAUGCUAAUACCGCAUAAAAACUUUAAACACAAGUUUUAAGUUUGAAAGAUGCAAUUGCAUCACUCAAAGAUGAUCCCGCGUUGUAUUAGCUAGUUGGUGAGGUAAAGGCUCACCAAGGCGAUGAUACAUAGCCGACCUGAGAGGGUGAUCGGCCACAUUGGGACUGAGACACGGCCCAAACUCCUACGGGAGGCAGCAGUAGGAAAUCUUCGGCAAUGGACGAAAGUCUGACCGAGCAACGCCGCGUGAGUGAAGAAGGUUUUCGGAUCGUAAAACUCUGUUGGUAGAGAAGAACGUUGGUGAGAGUGGAAAGCUCAUCAAGUGACGGUAACUACCCAGAAAGGGACGGCUAACUACGUG